GCCCGCCUAGCUCAAUCGGCCAGAGCGUCAGACUUUUAAGGCGGGUGUAAAUUCGUGAAAUUAAUGAAAUUAAUCUGAAGGCUGCGAGUUCGACCCUCGCGGUGGGCU
Molecule: non-coding RNA, 108 nt
Organism: Termitomyces sp. Mi166#008
Lineage: Eukaryota; Fungi; Basidiomycota; Agaricomycetes; Agaricales; Lyophyllaceae
Source: the annotation of a GenBank genome assembly